GUAGGUGGCAAGCGUUGUCCGGAUUUACUGGGCGUAAAGCGCGCGCAGGCGGCUCGCCAAGUCUGGGGUGAAAUCUCCCGGCUCAACCGGGAUAGGUCUCCAGAUACUGGCAGGCUUGAGGGGAGCAGAGGAGAGCGGAAUUCUCGGUGUAGCGGUGAUAUGCGUAGAUAUCGAGAGGAACACCAGUGGCGAAGGCGGCUCUCUGGGCUCCAUCUGACGCUGAGGCGCGAAAGCGUGGGGAGCGAACCGGAUUAGAUACCCGGGUAGUCCACGCUGUAAACGUUGGGCACUAGGUGUGGGGGGUAUUGACCCCCUCCGUGCCGUAGUUAACGCGAUAAGUGCCCCCGCCUGGGAGUACGGCCGCAAGGCUA
This 371-nucleotide ribosomal RNA is filed under the name uncultured organism. Its description in RNAcentral is "partial 16S ribosomal RNA". It matches the Rfam family "Bacterial small subunit ribosomal RNA", at positions 527 to 896 of the family's 1533-position model. The record is from RNAcentral.